Molecule: ribosomal RNA, 420 nt
Filed under: uncultured bacterium
Lineage: Bacteria
Description: bacterial SSU rRNA
Rfam family: Bacterial small subunit ribosomal RNA
Source: RNAcentral
UAAGGAAUAUUGCUCAAUGGGAGAAAUCCUGAAGCAGCAACGCCGCGUGGAGGAUGAAGGGUCUAUGACUUGUAAACUCCUGUAAAGAAGGAAAAAAUUCCCAUUAGAUGGGAGAUGAUGGUACUUCUGGAGUAAGCCCCGGCUAACUACGUGCCAGCAGCCGCGGUAAUACGUAGGGGGCAAGCGUUGUCGGGAUUUACUGGGUGUAAAGGGUGCUCAGGCGGAUUUGUAAGUCAGAGGUGAAAUCUUACAGCUUAACUGUGAAACUGCCUUUGAUACUGCAAGCCUAGAGUAUGGAAGAGAGUGAUGGAAUAUCUGGUGUAGCAGUGAAAUGCGUAGAUAUCAGAUAGAACACCAAUGGCGAAGGCAGUCACUUGAUCCAUUACUGACGCUAAAGCACGAAAGCGUGGGUAGCAAACA